ACUUUCAACAACGGAUCUCUUGGCUCUCGCAUCGAUGAAGAACGCAGCGAAAUGCGAUAAGUAAUGUGAAUUGCAGAAUUUAGUGAAUCAUCGAAUCUUUGAACGCACCUUGCGCUCCUUGGUAUUCCGAGGAGCAUGCCUGUUUGAGUGUCA
This 153-nucleotide ribosomal RNA is filed under the name Hypsizygus marmoreus. RNAcentral's name for it is "5.8S ribosomal RNA". It matches the Rfam family "5.8S ribosomal RNA". Rfam says of the family: 5.8S ribosomal RNA (5.8S rRNA) is a component of the large subunit of the eukaryotic ribosome. It is transcribed by RNA polymerase I as part of the 45S precursor that also contains 18S and 28S rRNA. Functionally, it is thought that 5.8S rRNA may be involved in ribosome translocation. The record is from RNAcentral. Lineage: Eukaryota; Fungi; Basidiomycota; Agaricomycetes; Agaricales; Lyophyllaceae.